GACGAACGCUGGCGGCGUGCUUAACACAUGCAAGUCGAACGGAAAGGCCCUGCUUUUGUGGGGUGCUCGAGUGGCGAACGGGGGAGUAACACGUGAGUAACCUGCCCUUGACUUUGGGAUAACUUCAGGAAACUGGGGCUAAUACCGGAUAGGAGCUCCUGCUGCAUGGUGGGGGUUGGAAAGUUUCGGCGGUUGGGGAUGGUCUCGCGGCUUAUCAGCUUGUUGGUGGGGUAGUGGCUUACCAAGGCUUUGACGGGUAGCCGGCCUGAGAGGGUGACCGGCCACAUGGGGACUGCGAUACGCCCCAGACUCCUACGGGAGGCAGCAGUGGGGAAUAUUGCACAAUGGGCGGAAGCCUGAUGCAGCAACGCCGCGUGCGUGAUGACGGCCUUCGGGUUGUAAACCGCUUUCGCCUGUGACGAAGCGUGAGUGACGGUAAUGGGUAAAGAAGCACCGGCUAACUACGUG
Molecule: ribosomal RNA, 468 nt
Filed under: uncultured bacterium
Lineage: Bacteria
Description: partial 16S ribosomal RNA
Rfam family: Bacterial small subunit ribosomal RNA
Source: RNAcentral